Molecule: transfer RNA, 71 nt
Filed under: Ovis aries (sheep)
Lineage: Eukaryota; Metazoa; Chordata; Mammalia; Artiodactyla; Bovidae
Rfam family: tRNA
About the family: Transfer RNA (tRNA) molecules are approximately 80 nucleotides in length. Their secondary structure includes four short double-helical elements and three loops (D, anti-codon, and T loops).
Source: Rfam by way of RNAcentral
UCCCUGGUGGCUCAGAUGCUAAAGAAUCUGCCUGCAAUGCAGGAGAUGUGGGUUUUCUCCCACCUGGAGAA